GACGAACGCUGGCGGCGUGCUUAACACAUGCCAGUCGAACGGAAAGGCCCUGCUUUUGGGGUGUGCUCGAGUGGAGAACGGGUGAGUAACACGUGAGUAACCUGCCCUUGACUUUGGGAUAACUUCAGGAAACUGGGGCUAAUACCGGAUAGGAGCUCCUGCUGCAUGGUGGGGGUUGGAAAGUUUUGGCGGUGGGGGAUGGACUCGCGGCUUAUCAGCUUGUUGGUGGGGUAGUGGCUUACCAAGGCUUUGACGGGUAGCCGGCCCGAGAGGGUGACCGGCCACAUUGGGACUGAGAUACGGCCCAGACUCCUACGGGAGGCAGCAGUGGGGAAUAUUGCACAAUGGGCGGAAGCCUGAUGCAGCAACGCCGCGUGCGGGAUGACGGCCUUCGGGUUGUAAACCGCUUUCGCCUGUGACGAAGCGUGAGUGACGGUAAUGUGUAAAGAAGCACCGGCUAACUACGUG
This 468-nucleotide ribosomal RNA is filed under the name uncultured bacterium. RNAcentral describes it as "partial 16S ribosomal RNA". It matches the Rfam family "Bacterial small subunit ribosomal RNA", at positions 28 to 507 of the family's 1533-position model. The record is from RNAcentral.